CAUCUUUGAGAAACUACUGUAGUACUUAAGUACUAAUUGAGCUUAACAUCUCCUCAAAACUU
Molecule: transfer RNA, 62 nt
Filed under: Pseudantechinus bilarni (Sandstone dibbler)
Lineage: Eukaryota; Metazoa; Chordata; Mammalia; Dasyuromorphia; Dasyuridae
Description: tRNA-Lys
Source: RNAcentral